Labeo rohita (rohu) is the source of this 390-nucleotide long non-coding RNA. RefSeq lists it as uncharacterized. The transcript has 4 exons. NCBI's taxonomy places the organism in Eukaryota, Metazoa, Chordata, Actinopteri, Cypriniformes, Cyprinidae. The record is from RefSeq and is a predicted model, not a curated record.
CGGCUCCUUCAGCACCUGUCUUACUCACCUGAAUGACAAACAAACAGAGUUUGAGUUUAAAAGGCUGUUUACAUAAAUUCCAAUGAUGCCUGAUGCUUGGACCAAAUUAUGUGAGACAGUUAAUUAUACCAAAUGCUUCUGAUGACAGACUGGUUCAGGAAAAACAACUCGAGGCAGUGUGUAAUGAGAUCGCUUCACUGGUGGGCACUCUCUUGUGAGGCUGAAGGAUGUCAGAGUCUCUACAGCACCUUCUCGCUCCCGGCCAGAUCCACCAGGUAUUUUCCCAGAUUGCUCAGUGACUCAGCAACUCGCAACUGAAUACAGAUGAGCAACGUCGUCAUUCGUCCGAUCAGAAUGCGGCGAAACGACACGGAUGGGCACGUGUGUAUG